This 497-nucleotide ribosomal RNA is filed under the name uncultured bacterium. RNAcentral describes it as "partial 16S ribosomal RNA". It matches the Rfam family "Bacterial small subunit ribosomal RNA", at positions 28 to 507 of the family's 1533-position model. The record is from RNAcentral.
GAUGAACGCUGGCGGCGUGCCUAAUACAUGCAAGUCGAGCGACCAGACGAUAAGCGCGUUCUUCUGCCGUUAGCGGCUGACGGGCGAGUGACACGUGGAUCAGCAACUAAUUUUUCUGGGAUAACUACGGGGAACCGCUUCUAAUACUGCCUCAUAUAUCCUACCGCAGGGAUCAAUAGAGCAUCACGCCUUUGGUGACUCUAUUAGCUGAUUCCGCGCCGCAUUAGCUAGUUGGUAAGGUAACGGCUUACCAAGGCAACGAUGCGUAGCCGAGCUGAGAGGGUGAUCGGCCACACUGGAACUGAGACACGGUCCAGACUCCUACGGGAGGCAGCAGUAGGGAAUCUUGCGCAAUGGGCGAAAGCCUGACGGAGCAACGCCGCGUGGGUGAUGAAGGUCUUCGGAUCGUAAAACUCUGUUGUUGGGGAAGAAAAGAAGUGUAAGUAACUAUGCCCGUUUUGACGGUACCUAAAGAAAAAGCAACGGCUAACUUCGUG